UAUGGUCUAAUUUUCAUUUUUGGGUGAACUAGCCCUUUAAAACUGCAGUGCGCAAGCUUAGAAUAAACAGGCUGUUAUCUUUAGUUGGUGUUGACGUAGAUAUAGUUAUAGUUCUAUAGUGUGAAUGGGCAUACUUGCCAAAUCAACGUGUUUAAAUCACACACACACAUACAUUCUCCAUUCCUUCCCACUCAGAACACCACAGGUGUCUUUCUCCAUUUCAAAUAUCAUUCUCUCUAUCCGUCUCUCUUACACUCUUCCUCUCCUCCUGUGCACUGUGAUGUGUCUGUCACUUUCUCUGUCACUGCCACUCCCCUCCACCACAACUCGGCAGAUCAGUGGUUGGUUACCAUGGCAAUGCAACAGCCCAGUUACUCCGGAGCCUUCGGUGGAUCAGAACACCAAGGCUACCUGCACCCAACCGUCUUCCCUCUGGCUCUGAGAUUUGAAGCCGUCACCCACCCGUGAACGUCGCUCUCAAGAUGAACAGCCAAGAAUAGCUGUUCGCACUACAGACGCAUUUCAAAAUGCUCAUUCCGUUAUUGUGAUCGUCUCCUAAUGCGGGGCAAGAUGUUUUCAAAAACAGCCGCCUCUCACUGAUGCGUUCGCCGUAUAACGUGCCAUGUUCACGCUUGAAGAAUCCGCGCCCGCGGAGCGGAGGAAGUCAUUUGUUUUUCCUGUCAUUCCUGGAUGCGCCCUGCCCCGCUUCCCACCAGCGCUCGCUCCAAACACAUUGAGCUGAUCCGCUUUAUUUAUGGAAUGACAGAUGGGCCAAUUAUCAUAAAACCAAGAACGGUGCCAUUUCCUUUUCAAACAGUUGACUUCAUUAUCUGCAAGAGUGGAGGGGAGGAUAGAGAGGAAAGAUGGCGAGCUUCGCACCCUGCUUGCACCUCUGGAGCCUGACCUCGCAAAACAAAGGUUGCCGUGCAUAGUAAUAAGUCCUGUGAGACGGAGCAACCAGAAGGCUGAAAUAAGCUCGCCAUUGGCUCUUUAACUGUGCGUGGAACUGUAUCUGCAGGAGAUUGAGGAAAUUAAUCAAGUGCUUCUGCAACAGCAACACCUCACGAAAGGUGAUUCUGAGGAAAAACAAGAGAAGGAAAGCAAAGAGUCUGCGACAGAUGAGGGAACAGCCAUAAGUUCUGCUCAAGAAGAUGGAUGGAUAGCAUUUUAACAUAAAAAUGUGCCAUUUUACAUAGCAAAUUUACAGAAAAUAAAUAAAUAAAUGAACAAAAUCAGUUUGUAAUGUUCACAUUUCAGUCUUGCACUCUAAAUAAUUUUUUUUUUAACCCAAAAUGCUGGGUUUAACUUGUUGGGUUAUUUUAUUGGGUUAUUUCAAAUAUUUUUAAGCCAGGUGCUGGGUAGAUUUUCUGUAACUAAGUUGCUGGGUCAUUUUUAAUGCUGGGUUAUUUUCUUUACCCAGGCGCUGGGUUAAGCCUGUCUCUGACAAAACAUCCCAGCUGCUGAGUUAGCGGUUCUCAGUGCCACCAAUUUGGUGCACUUCUUCAGCGAUCUUCAAAUAAAGGCAGGUUUUGGAGUCAGUCACAGCAUCUUUCAGCUGUGAGUGAAACAAGAGGCCACGGUCUGAAGUUUGCAGAUACCCCAGCGAACAGCAACCCUUCACCGGCUUAGAUUUCGGCGAAAACACCGGAACGAGAAUCAGCGCUAUUUCAGUAAAAUGUGAUUACAGAGAACUGUUGAACUGUUUAAAAUUAAAAUGCUACUUUAAAUGUUACAUUUCUUAUGUCUAAAAUGCUUGUUAAAUGACUUUAAAUGUAUGUAAUAUUGUAAACUAUUGCUGUAUAAAUAAAUGUUCAUCUUUUGA
Long non-coding RNA from Labeo rohita (rohu), 1822 nucleotides. RefSeq lists it as uncharacterized. The record is from RefSeq and is a predicted model, not a curated record. The transcript is spliced from 2 exons. Lineage: Eukaryota; Metazoa; Chordata; Actinopteri; Cypriniformes; Cyprinidae.